Molecule: long non-coding RNA, 733 nt
Filed under: Sus scrofa (pig)
Lineage: Eukaryota; Metazoa; Chordata; Mammalia; Artiodactyla; Suidae
Description: lncRNA (ENSSSCG00035005378.1)
Source: RNAcentral
UCAGGACUCAGAGCUUUUAUCCAGCCUUGAGCUAUUCUUGCUCUGCGUGGGGGAGGGAGGGCUGUAGGCUGCUUCGUCUUCCGAGUAAGGAUGUGAAAAUGAAGAGGAGCCUGGUCUGAGGCUGAGGGGGGAGACAGCAGAUGAGUGCGUGGCCCAGGAGCCAGAGGAAAAGGAGCUGAAGAAAGAGCCUGGUGUCACAGAAAAUAGAACAUUAACGACGUCUGCUGUGUUGUAUCUCCAAGCAGGGAAACAAGGCUCUGUGGGGGACAGGGCAGUGAAAAGGACCUUUCACAGAGAUUACUCAUAAGAAACAAGGCUAAGUCUCCCCAGAGGAAAACUACAAGGGUCCUACCGCCGGGGUAGUGACGAGCACAUGCACGCGUGAGUCUGGUUGCUCUCAUCUUUGAAUUCUCUGCUGAAAUAGCACGUCCUCACAGGGAACUUGCCCAACCACCCUCUUCAAAGCAGAAGCCCCAGGUUCAUUUCUGACCUAGCAUCCCAUUUAUUUUCUUCAGAACAUGUGCUAUAAUAUGUAAAUAGCUUCUUUAUUGUUCACUGUUAAAUUUUUCUAUCUAGAAUGAAAUGUGUUUAUUGCAGGAAAAUGGAAUCUUGUAAGAACGGUUUGUCCAGAUCACUUCGGGAUCCCCAGCACCUGGCACGUGGUGGCACCCACUAGCUUCUCAAUGAAAGCUUGUUCAAUAAAUGAAUGACCCCCACUAUUGGUGAGAGUGUC